This 253-nucleotide ribosomal RNA is filed under the name uncultured bacterium. RNAcentral describes it as "partial 16S ribosomal RNA". It matches the Rfam family "Bacterial small subunit ribosomal RNA", at positions 524 to 776 of the family's 1533-position model. The record is from RNAcentral.
UACGGGGGGGGCAAGCGUUGUUCGGAAUUACUGGGCGUAAAGGGCUCGUAGGCGGCCAACUAAGUCGGACGUGAAAUCCCUGGGCUCAACCCAGGAACUGCGUCCGAUACUGGUUGGCUUGAAUCCGGGAGAGGGAUGUGGAAUUCCAGGUGUAGCGGUGAAAUGCGUAGAUAUCUGGAGGAACACCGGUGGCGAAGGCGACAUCCUGGACCGUCAUUGACGCUGAGGCGCGAAAGCGUGGGGAGCGAACAGG